AUAUUAAAGUUGCUGCAGUUAAAAAGCUCGUAGUUGAAUUUCGGGAUCAAUAUAUCGGUCGUGCCUUUGGUACGUACUGGUAUCAUUGAUUUCUCCUUUCUGACGAGUCAUGAUGUCAUUAAUUUGGUGUUAUGAGGAGUUAGGACUGUUACUUUGAAAAAAUUAGAGUGUUUAAAGCAGGCAUUAGCUUGAAUACAUUAGCAUGGAAUAAUGAAAUAGGACGUUUGACCCUAUUUUGUUGGUUUUUAGGAUCGACGUAAUGAUUAAUAGGGAUAGUUGGGGGCAUUAGUAUUCAAUUGUCAGAGGUGAAAUUCUUGGAUUUAUUGAAGACUAACUACUGCGAAAGCAUUUGCCAAGGAUGUUUUCAUUAAUCAAGAACGAAAGUUAGGGGAUCGAAGACGAUCAGAUACCGUCGUAGUCUUAACCAUAAACUAUGCCGACUAGGGAUCGGAUGAUGUUAAUUUUAUAAUGACUCAUUC
RNAcentral lists this ribosomal RNA (479 nucleotides) under uncultured Glomus. RNAcentral describes it as "SSU rRNA". It matches the Rfam family "Eukaryotic small subunit ribosomal RNA", at positions 601 to 1081 of the family's 1831-position model. Lineage: Eukaryota; Fungi; Glomeromycota; Glomeromycetes; Glomerales; Glomeraceae. The record is from RNAcentral.